UAAGUAGGUUGUAGCUCGGUGA
Molecule: microRNA, 22 nt
Filed under: Drosophila mojavensis
Lineage: Eukaryota; Metazoa; Arthropoda; Insecta; Diptera; Drosophilidae
Description: Dmo-Novel-5-P3_3p (mature (guide))
Source: RNAcentral